RNAcentral lists this ribosomal RNA (305 nucleotides) under uncultured bacterium. RNAcentral describes it as "bacterial SSU rRNA". It matches the Rfam family "Bacterial small subunit ribosomal RNA", at positions 339 to 636 of the family's 1533-position model. The record is from RNAcentral.
CUACGGGGGGCAUCAUUAUUUCCUCUUCCCCAAUUUUCUCCCUCCUGAUUUAGCAACGCCGCGUGGGUGAAGAAGGUCUUCGGAUCGUAAAACCCUGUUGUUAGAGAAGAAAGUGCGUGAGAGUAACUGUUCACGUUUCGACGGUAUCUAACCAGAAAGCCACGGCUAACUACGUGCCAGCAGCCGCGGUAAUACGUAGGUGGCAAGCGUUAUCCGGAUUUAUUGGGCGUAAAGGGAACGCAGGCGGUCUUUUAAGUCUGAUGUGAAAGCCUUCGGCUUAACCGGAGUAGUGCAUUGGAAACUGG